AAUAUAAUAAUACAUCAAGGUGCUUUCAGUUACGGCUGAAAGAGAAUAGGGAAACAGGUGAAAAACCUGUACGGGCCCGCCACUGUAACUGACAGAUUAAAUUUAAAUACAUCCACUCAGUAUUUACUGGGGAAGGAUAUAAAUUUAAUUGUUAAUGUCAGGAGUCAGGAGACCUGCCUUUUGUAUUUCUAUCUA
This 195-nucleotide non-coding RNA is filed under the name Halanaerobium hydrogeniformans. Lineage: Bacteria; Bacillati; Bacillota; Clostridia; Halanaerobiales; Halanaerobiaceae. The record is from RNAcentral.